UUUAUAUUUUCAUUCUUGGAUGUAUAAAGUGAAUUAUUUGGCUCCUGUAAGUAUCCUCUAUGCAUCUGUUUGAUCAUGUAUUUAUAUGUUGUACACAGUACUGGCCAACUCUGUAAAUGGAUGUAAUGUACAUAGAACAUAAAGGGUUCUUUUUUUUCCUUGGAUUUUCAGGCUCUACAGCAGUAUUGCAUUAAAGUGGUGUUAGUUAUUAAUCUGCAUCUGUAGUCAGAGCCACUGUAUUCUGUCUUGCCUGACGUGAGGCUCAACAUGCAAAGGUGUCUCUCGGUCCUGACAGCCUCCCGCUCUGCCCAGGCCGCCGUGCUGCGUUGUGCAGGUAGACCGUGAUGUGCAGACUCAAGGAUGACCCGAUGGCAUUUGCCGAGUCGAGUGUGCUUCGCUGGUCACUCCUCUAAGCUGUUGCCAGUUGUUGCUGUAACUGAUCUCCUAGAGCGUGGCUGUAGCUGCGUUGCAGGAAGCCGUACAAGUCCCUAUUUGAGAUGCAAGCCUGAGGCAUGCAACAAGUGUAGUCUCUGACAUGGUUUAUCCUUAAUGCAUCUGGCAGCCUCACAUGGUGGGAGUGAGAGAGACCAGCGCACGUGGGCACACGCGCCCGCACCCCGGGAUGAAGGCGGAGCGGAGGUGUGAAACCUGCUUACCAAAGAUAGGGAGCGGAGCUGGGGGGUUCUGGCUCUGCCUCCUUUGGGGCCACUGUAGUGUACAGAUUGAACCGGUCCGGUUUGCAGAGCCCUCCGGGGGGGCCUGCUCAUGUAUGUCCCUUGUGGUAUUGGAAAAAUAAACACUCUGUAAAACCUG
Molecule: long non-coding RNA, 813 nt
Organism: Aptenodytes forsteri (emperor penguin)
Lineage: Eukaryota; Metazoa; Chordata; Aves; Sphenisciformes; Spheniscidae
Exons: 2
Source: RefSeq, a predicted model, not a curated record